Uranotaenia lowii is the source of this 1206-nucleotide long non-coding RNA. RefSeq lists it as uncharacterized. NCBI's taxonomy places the organism in Eukaryota, Metazoa, Arthropoda, Insecta, Diptera, Culicidae. The record is from RefSeq and is a predicted model, not a curated record. The transcript has 4 exons.
UGAGUGAAGCAAAAAAAAGAAGACUCACCACAAAAGACUUGAUGUACACUCAGCCGAAAAGGGAACGAUGAAUUCACCUGGAUUUUCACGUAGGCGCUCAUUACGUGAAUUUGGGCUUGACUUACGUGAAUCACGUAGAAGCUAAUAAAAAAUCACAUGAGCAUUACGUGAAAAUUCAUGUAAACAACAAUGCCGAAUUCAGUUCACACACUUUUUAUGUGACGUUCACGUAAAACAACAAUACAAAAGAGUUCAAUAUGGCCACGAUUGAAAUGCCAACAAGAGUUCUUCUAUCUGAUUUAGGAUUUUCAGAGGAAGGUGGAGGUAUUCUACUUCGUAAGUAUUUAUUAUUAUUUUUGUUUUGUUCCAAGUUCACAUUUUUAUUGUUUCCAGAAUGCGGUAUUGGUAUACGCGAGCUAAUCACAGCAUCGGAGGAAUAUCUUCGGAACUGCUUAUUACAAGCAGACGUCAACUGGAACUUCCCGACCAUUUUCCAAGUAAUUGAAGAUUGGCGCUCACGAAACGCUUAAAUCACGGAGCCUGGGGUUGGCCUGGAGCGACCGUAAGAAUGAGAUCGGGAAAAAUCUUCAGAUGCAGAAAGCAACCGGAGGUGGCUGGCAACGUAGAAGAUUCGAAUUCGGGUUCGCCCGGCGGUUCGGGUUUGCCUGCAAUCUUGGCCUGGUCACGUUUGGUUGGGUUUGUAAAACAUCGAAAUGUGCAGUAAAAUCACAAUGUCCGCCGACGAUUCGAUGGUGCUAGAUGUGCCCCGCAACGAAAAUCAUCAGACAGUUGCGAGCGUAUAUCUUGCGAACAAGCUGAUAGCCAAUCAACACAUUUGCCAGUUCGGUCACUUUGAUCUUCCCAAGGCCUGAGAGUUUUGGUGCAGCAUCCCGUACAAAUGCCAGCAAGCGGCGGAAGCUACUCUGUUCCGCGGAAAUGUUUUUCUUCUGAACUGACGAUGUGAUUGAGGGUGGAGGUAUCAAUGGUAACAGCAUCGAUGGUUAUUGAAUCCUAUAUAAAGAAACGAAUUUCGAAGAAGUUCACAAAUUUUCGGUGGUUUCCCCACACAAUAAGUCAUCUCUUUAAUUUGUUCCUUUGAAGAUGAUGGCACCGAUCGGUAUCGAGUUCUGGAUGUGCGAGAUAAAUACGCGCGUUCGAUAACCGCAUCAGAAAAAAACAGCAAUGUCCGUUGUGGCCAGUGUGCUU